RNAcentral lists this long non-coding RNA (398 nucleotides) under Mytilus galloprovincialis (Mediterranean mussel). The record is from RNAcentral. Lineage: Eukaryota; Metazoa; Mollusca; Bivalvia; Mytilida; Mytilidae.
GUGUUGAAGUGGAUUCAUGGAGUGAACUUUGUAUUUAAAUAUAUAAAGCUGAAAGAUUAGUGGUUAUGAGGAUGACUAACAACCCAAAAAUUAAUGACCAGCAUAAAAAAACCAUUUUAUUUACAUUUUAAAGAAAUUGAAAAUGAUCAAUAUGUUUAUGUCCGCCAUAUUGGAAAUCACCGGAAGUAAGGAUUUGAAAGACACGUGUCUUAUACAUUGUAUCCAUGAGAAACACCAAAGAAAGGUUCCUGCAAAAUGUAAGGACAGUAGAAAUGCUUUGAAACAUAUUUUAAUUACCCUCCCCCCUAAACAUAACCUUAUUUUAGUACAAUGUCCACCAUAUUGGAUUUUACCGGAAGUAGGGUUUUUGAAGACAUCUAAUCUAUAUCAUAUAUCCA